RNAcentral lists this long non-coding RNA (518 nucleotides) under Elaeis guineensis (African oil palm). RNAcentral describes it as "long non-coding RNA (EGUI_LNC081258)". Lineage: Eukaryota; Viridiplantae; Streptophyta; Magnoliopsida; Arecales; Arecaceae. The record is from RNAcentral.
GAAAUAUGUUUGAAAGCUUAUGAGUAUUUGGAAAUAUAAUAAUAUAUGUAUGGCUAAAAAUUGAUUUUGGAGUUGGUGUGGAAAAAAUAUUGGAUCUUACUUUCUACUUUGACAACAAUUCAGACCCCAUUGGCAGAGGUGGUCGCCAGUGAAGCAUGUGUUCAGCAACGAGUUUCUUUGGGAUAUCUAUUCUAUGGCUAAAUAUGAUUUUGUCUCACAUCAUUGGGCUAGAUUUGGUUCCAAUCCUAAUCAUGGGCCUCAUCAUGGCCUUACAUAGUCACAAGGACUAAGAGAGGAAUUAUAUUUUUUGAUUUUUAUAAAAUUGCUUUCUUAAUUGCUUUGAAUUUUUAUAUUAAAAAACUAUCUUUUGCACUUCAAUUUGAAAGGAAUAGUGUGUGACCAAUGGGCAGUGAGUUGAUUUUUGAUUGGGCUGCAAAAAAUUAAAAACUACAUCAAGCUUGAUUGCAUCAAAGAUUUCAAAUUACUGGAUUGAACAGAAGUUUGCUUUGCUUUAUUAC